Molecule: ribosomal RNA, 533 nt
Filed under: Clostridioides difficile
Lineage: Bacteria; Bacillati; Bacillota; Clostridia; Peptostreptococcales; Peptostreptococcaceae
Description: partial 23S ribosomal RNA
Rfam family: Bacterial large subunit ribosomal RNA
Source: RNAcentral
UGGGAUACCACCCUUGUAGUACUGGGACUCUAACCAUAGGCCAUGAAUCUGGUCUUGGGACACUGUCAGGUGGGCAGUUUGACUGGGGCGGUCGCCUCCCAAAAGGUAACGGAGGCGCUCAAAGGUUCUCUCAGUACGGUCGGAAAUCGUACGUAGAGUGUAAAGGCAAAAGAGAGCUUGAUUGCAAGACAUACAGGUCGAGCAAGGAUGAAAAUCGGACUUAGUGAUCCGGUGGUUCUGCGUGGAAGGGCCAUCGCUCAACGGAUAAAAGCUACCCUGGGGAUAACAGGCUUAUCUCCCCCAAGAGUCCACAUCGACGGGGAGGUUUGGCACCUCGAUGUCGGCUCAUCACAUCCUGGGGCUGUAGUAGGUCCCAAGGGUUGGGCUGUUCGCCCAUUAAAGUGGUACGCGAGCUGGGUUCAGAACGUCGUGAGACAGUUCGGUCCCUAUCCGUCGCAGGCGUAGGAAAUUUGAGAAGACCUGUCCUUAGUACGAGAGGACCGGGAUGGACGUACCUCUGGUGUACCAGUUGU